This is a long non-coding RNA of Cygnus olor (mute swan), 489 nucleotides long. RefSeq lists it as uncharacterized. The record is from RefSeq and is a predicted model, not a curated record. NCBI's taxonomy places the organism in Eukaryota, Metazoa, Chordata, Aves, Anseriformes, Anatidae. The transcript is spliced from 5 exons.
UUUUCCUGCAGAAAUGUAGGACAGGAAUCCUGAUGGUUUCUAUAUUGCUGACUGUCACUAUGAAGCGUGACAACAGGAGGUCUUCAGUAUUGAGCAAAUAUAACAUCCAAAUAAAAACUGAUCAGGAAAGACGGAAAAGUAAAGUGAACAAUCCAAAAUGUGCUGACCUUGGGAGCAAGAAGGAAAAUCCAAAUGUGCCUGUUCACUGCUACAAGGUUAGGAACAAGCACUGACAAUAUCAGUGAGGAGACUGUCAGAAAAAUACUGUCUGUGAGAAAGAAAAGGAGAGCAAAUUGCAGCACAGACACUGAGAGCUGCAAUAAGAUUUAAGGAACUGCUGCUUCCCUUUCCUUGGUUUAGAUUGCUACUGGUGUAUGCCCUCCUUCCUACCACACUGUGAACUGGAGACCAGACCAAGAGGUGCCACAGGCAAUGCAAUAUUUGCAGUUUGCACAGUAUGUCUGACAUGCCUGCAAAAGUGGAGACCCU